GCGCUGCAGCCUGGAGGCUCCGGGCGCGGGGAAGUCAUGCUCGCUUCACGGAGGCAAUAGCUAGCCGUGCAACAGAAAUAAACCAAAUGUGUUCGAACAUAUGUCAGAGGGCUGACAUAAUCAUAUGAAGAAUGCUAUACCAGUUUGGCUUUGGGACGAAAUGUGAAUCUACUAGGGAAACAUACAACUGCCCUCUGAGUCAGAAGAUCAGAAGUUGCUGUGGCUACACAUAGUGUCUGUGGGAGGUUAUGUUUAUUUGAGACUUCUCCAUCGGGAUCGCCUGGUGUCACCAAGUGUCCA
This 300-nucleotide small RNA is filed under the name Pan troglodytes (chimpanzee). RNAcentral describes it as "processed transcript". Lineage: Eukaryota; Metazoa; Chordata; Mammalia; Primates; Hominidae. The record is from RNAcentral.